GGGUUAAUAUUCUAAUUGGUAAGAACCUUCUUUGUCAUAGAAGUGUAUAUCGGAUCGAGACCGGUUUAACCCG
Sclerotinia sclerotiorum is the source of this 73-nucleotide transfer RNA. It matches the Rfam family "tRNA". From Rfam's summary of the family: Transfer RNA (tRNA) molecules are approximately 80 nucleotides in length. Lineage: Eukaryota; Fungi; Ascomycota; Leotiomycetes; Helotiales; Sclerotiniaceae. The record is from Rfam.